Long non-coding RNA from Homo sapiens (human), 807 nucleotides. Ensembl annotates it as ring finger protein 216 pseudogene 1. Its record names the gene RNF216P1. NCBI's taxonomy places the organism in Eukaryota, Metazoa, Chordata, Mammalia, Primates, Hominidae. The record is from Ensembl.
AGUCGGGAGGGGGCGCUGUACGCGCGCUGUACGCUUGCGCGAGGUGACGCCGGGGCAGGGCCGGAAGGAAUGCAGCGGCUGCCACGGAGCUCGUAGCUGCAGCUUUGGAGGAGUAAGCGGCGUGGUAGCGAAGGUCGCCGAACCCGCCUGGCUAGCCGGCGAGUUGAGUGGCGACUCUUUUGAAACAGAUGGUCACCAUGUUUAGAUAUUAGCAGUCCCGUAUGUGCAUGUCUGCAUUUGAAAAUGGAAGAGGGAAACAACAAUGAAGAGGUAAUUCACUUGAACAACUUUCACUGCCAUCGGGGACAAGACUUUGUAAUUUUCUUCUGGAAAACCCAGAUUAUCCAAAGAGAGAAGACAGAAUCAUUAUAAAUCCCAGUAGCAGUCUGCUGGCCAGCCAAGAUGAGACAAAGUUGCCUAAAAUAAGACUUUUUUGACUAUUCUAAAUUGACUCCUCUUGACCAGCACUGCUUCAUCCAAGCUGCUGACCUCCUCAUGGCCGACUUCAAAGUGCUCAGUAGUCAGGACAUCAUGUGGGCCCUGCACGAGCUCAAAGGACACUAUGCAAUCACCCGAAAGGACUUUGAGAGUCAUCAGCAUAUGGAAAAUCUCACCAGCCAGGAUGAGGUACCCAGAGAUACCAGGCCUUUUCUGAUGCCAUUAAAAAAUGGCAGGAGCUAUCACCAGAAACCAGUGGAAAAAGGAAAAAGAGAAAAGAAAUGAACCAGUAUUCUUAAAUUGAUUUCAAGUUUGAACAAGGUACUGGGCUGCUGGGGGAUCCCAAGUGAGCAGAGUCUGUUUUCUACC